CGAGAGAAAAAAAAAACAAAGGCAGAACCGAGGGGCUGAAAAAAGAGCCAGGGGAGAGCAGAGAGAACACGAAAAAGCCAGGGGAAGGAGACUAGACAGAGAGAAAAAAAGAAGAAACAGAGAACAGGGGGGAGUCGAAAAAAGAACUGGGGAGAGAACCUAGAACACGAAGAGAAGCCUGGGGAACGGGCAAAUACAGGGGACAGGCAGGAAGAAACCAAGCAGAGAAAACCAAAAACAGAGGUGAAGCGAAAGAAAAACAAAAGCAGAGGAAGAAAGCAACUAGCCGACCAGUCCUCCA
RNAcentral lists this long non-coding RNA (301 nucleotides) under Populus trichocarpa (black cottonwood). Its description in RNAcentral is "long non-coding RNA (PTRI_LNC001991)". The record is from RNAcentral. Lineage: Eukaryota; Viridiplantae; Streptophyta; Magnoliopsida; Malpighiales; Salicaceae.